AUUGGGCGUAAAGCGAGCGCAGGCGGUUUUUUAAGUCUGAUGUGAAAGCCUUCGGCUCAACCGAAGAAGUGCAUCGGAAACUGGGAAACUUGAGUGCAGAAGAGGACAGUGGAACUCCAUGUGUAGCGGUGAAAUGCGUAGAUAUAUGGAAGAACACCAGUGGCGAAGGCGGCUGUCUGGUCUGUAACUGACGCUGAGGCUCGAAAGUAUGGGUAGCAAACAGGAUUAGAUACCCUGGUAGUCCAUACCGUAAACGAUGAAUGCUAAGUGUUGGAGGGUUUCCGCCCUUCAGUGCUGCAGCUAACGCAUUAAGCAUUCCGCCUGGGGAGUACGGCCGCAAGGCUGAAACUCAAAGGAAUUGACGGGGGCCCGCACAAGCGGUGGAGCAUGUGGUUUAAUUCGAAGCUACGCGAAGAACCUUACCAGGUCUUGACAUACUAUGCAAAUCUAAGAGAUUAGACGUUCCCUUCGGGGACAUGGAUACAGGUGGUGCAUGGUUGUCGUCAGCUCGUGUCGUGAGAUGUUGGGUUAAGUCCCGCAACGAGCGCAACCCUUAUUAUCAGUUGCCAGCAUUAAGUUGGGCACUCUGGUGAGACUGCCGGUGACAAACCGGAGGAAGGUGGGGAUGACGUCAAAUCAUCAUGCCCCUUAUGACCUGGGCUACACACGUGCUACAAUGGAUGGUACAACGAGUUGCGAACUCGCGAGAGUAAGCUAAUCUCUUAAAGCCAUUCUCAGUUCGGAUUGUAGGCUGCAACUCGCCUACAUGAAGUCGGAAUCGCUAGUAAUCGCGGAUCAGCAUGCCGCGGUGAAUACGUUCCCGGGCCU
Molecule: ribosomal RNA, 828 nt
Filed under: Lactiplantibacillus plantarum
Lineage: Bacteria; Bacillati; Bacillota; Bacilli; Lactobacillales; Lactobacillaceae
Description: bacterial SSU rRNA
Rfam family: Bacterial small subunit ribosomal RNA
Source: RNAcentral